Molecule: microRNA precursor, 107 nt
Filed under: Rosa chinensis
Lineage: Eukaryota; Viridiplantae; Streptophyta; Magnoliopsida; Rosales; Rosaceae
Description: sRNA RchiOBHm_Chr7g0195131
Rfam family: MIR473 microRNA precursor family
Source: Rfam by way of RNAcentral
GUUGAUCACUCUCCCUCAAGGGCUUCACACCAAGGUAGAGUUUUAUAUCCCAGGGAGACUUGGGGUAUUUACACAAGGCUGUGAAGCCCUUGGGGGAGACUGACCAA